CAUAGGGGGCCGGCCGGCCCUAAACAUGCAAGUCGAGCGGCAGCGGGUCCUUCGGGAUGCCGGCGAGCGGCGGACGGGUGAGUAAUGCCUAGGAAUCUGCCUGAUAGUGGGGGAUAACGUUCGGAAACGGACGCUAAUACCGCAUACGUCCUACGGGAGAAAGCGGGGGAUCUUCGGACCUCGCGCUAUCAGAUGAGCCUAGGUCGGAUUAGCUAGUUGGUGAGGUAAUGGCUCACCAAGGCGACGAUCCGUAACUGGUCUGAGAGGAUGAUCAGUCACACUGGAACUGAGACACGGUCCAGACUCCUACGGGAGGCAGCAGUGGGGAAUAUUGGACAAUGGGCGAAAGCCUGAUCCAGCCAUGCCGCGUGUGUGAAGAAGGUCUUCGGAUUGUAAAGCACUUUAAGUUGGGAGGAAGGGCAGUAAGCUAAUAUCUUGCUGUUUUGACGUUACCAACAGAAUAAGCACCGGCUAACUUCGUGCCAGCAGCCGCGGUAAUACGAAGGGUGCAAGCGUUAAUCGGAAUUACUGGGCGUAAAGCGCGCGUAGGUGGUUCAGCAAGUUGGAUGUGAAAGCCCCGGGCUCAACCUGGGAACUGCAUCCAAAACUACUGAGCUAGAGUACGGUAGAGGGUGGUGGAAUUUCCUGUGUAGCGGUGAAAUGCGUAGAUAUAGGAAGGAACACCAGUGGCGAAGGCGACCACCUGGACUGAUACUGACACUGAGGUGCGAAAGCGUGGGGAGCAAACAGGAUUAGAUACCCUGGUAGUCCACGCCGUAAACGAUGUCAACUAGCCGUUGGGGUU
Molecule: ribosomal RNA, 805 nt
Filed under: Pseudomonas sp. EA_S_55
Lineage: Bacteria; Pseudomonadati; Pseudomonadota; Gammaproteobacteria; Pseudomonadales; Pseudomonadaceae
Description: bacterial SSU rRNA
Rfam family: Bacterial small subunit ribosomal RNA
Source: RNAcentral